GAUGAACGCUGGCGGCGUGCCUAAUACAUGCAAGUCGAGCGAACAGACGAGGAGCUUGCUCCUCUGACGUUAGCGGCGGACGGGUGAGUAACACGUGGAUAACCUACCUAUAAGACUGGGAUAACUUCGGGAAACCGGAGCUAAUACCGGAUAAUAUAUUGAACCGCAUGGUUCAAUAGUGAAAGACGGUUUUGCUGUCACUUAUAGAUGGAUCCGCGCCGCAUUAGCUAGUUGGUAAGGUAACGGCUUACCAAGGCAACGAUGCGUAGCCGACCUGAGAGGGGGAUCGGCCACACUGGAACUGAGACACGGUCCAGACUCCUACGGGAGGCAGCAGUAGGGAAUCUGCCGCAAGGGGCGAAAGCCUGACGAAGCAACGCCGCGUGAGUAAUGAAGGUCUUCGGAUCGUAAAACUCUGUUAUUAGGAAAAAACAAAUGUGUAAGUAACUAUGCACGUCUUGACGGUACCAAAUCAGAAAGCCACGGCUAACUACGU
This 496-nucleotide ribosomal RNA is filed under the name uncultured bacterium. Its description in RNAcentral is "partial 16S ribosomal RNA". It matches the Rfam family "Bacterial small subunit ribosomal RNA", at positions 28 to 506 of the family's 1533-position model. The record is from RNAcentral.